RNAcentral lists this ribosomal RNA (449 nucleotides) under uncultured bacterium. RNAcentral describes it as "partial 16S ribosomal RNA". It matches the Rfam family "Bacterial small subunit ribosomal RNA", at positions 29 to 523 of the family's 1533-position model. The record is from RNAcentral.
AACGAACGCUGGCGGCAUGCCUAACACAUGCAAGUCGAACGAGAUCUUCGGGUCUAGUGGCGCACGGGUGCGUAACGCGUGGGAAUCUGCCCUUUGGUUCGGAAUAACAGUUGGAAACGACUGCUAAUACCGGAUGAUGACGAAAGUCCAAAGAUUUAUCGCCAGAGGAUGAGCCCGCGUAGGAUUAGCUAGUUGGUGUGGUAAAGGCGCACCAAGGCGACGAUCCUUAGCUGGUCUGAGAGGAAGAUCAGCCACACUGGGACUGAGACACGGCCCAGACUCCUACGGGAGGCAGCAGUGGGGAAUAUUGGACAAUGGGCGAAAGCCUGAUCCAGCAAUGCCGCGUGAGUGAUGAAGGCCUUAGGGUUGUAAAGCUCUUUUACCCGGGAUGAUAAUGACAGUACCGGGAGAAUAAGCUCCGGCUAACUCCGUGUCAGCCGCCGCGGUAA